RNAcentral lists this ribosomal RNA (274 nucleotides) under uncultured bacterium. Its description in RNAcentral is "partial 16S ribosomal RNA". It matches the Rfam family "Bacterial small subunit ribosomal RNA", at positions 523 to 796 of the family's 1533-position model. The record is from RNAcentral.
AUACGGAGGGGGCUAGCGUUGUUCGGAAUUACUGGGCGUAAAGCGCGCGUAGGCGGAUCGUUAAGUCAGGGGUGAAAGCCCGGAGCUCAACUCCGGAACUGCCCUUGAUACUGGCGAUCUCGAGUCCGGGAGAGGCGAGCGGAAUUCCUAGUGUAGAGGUGAAAUUCGUAGAUAUUAGGAGGAACACCAGUGGCGAAGGCGGCUCACUGGCCCGGUACUGACGCUGAGGUGCGAAAGCGUGGGGAGCAAACAGGAUUAGAUACCCUAGUAGUCC